Molecule: ribosomal RNA, 497 nt
Filed under: uncultured bacterium
Lineage: Bacteria
Description: partial 16S ribosomal RNA
Rfam family: Bacterial small subunit ribosomal RNA
Source: RNAcentral
GAUGAACGCUGGCGGCGUGCCUAAUACAUGCAAGUCGAGCGAACGGACGAGAAGCUUGCUUCUCUGAUGUUAGCGGCGGACGGGUGAGUAACACGUGUAUAACCUACCUAUAAGACUGGGAUAACUUCGGGAAACCGGAGCUAAUACCGGAUGAUAUUUUGAACCGCAUGGUUCAAAAGUGAAAGACGGUCUUGCUGUCACUUAUAGAUGGAUCCGCGCUGCAUUAGCUAGUUGGUAAGGUAACGGCUUACCAAGGCAACGAUGCAUAGCCGACCUGAGAGGGUGAUCGGCCACACUGGAACUGGGACACGGUCCAGACUCCUACGGGAGGCAGCAGUAGGGAAUCUUCCGCAAUGGGCGGAAGCCUGACGGAGCAACGCCGCGUGAGUGAUGAAGGUCUUCGGAUCGUAAAACUCUGUUAUUAGGGAAGAACAUAUGUGUAAGUAACUGUGCACAUCUUGACGGUACCUAAUCAGAAAGCCACGGCUAACUACGUG